UCCAAGGCUAAAUACUCCUGACUGACCGAUAGUGAACCAGUACCGUGAGGGAAAGGCGAAAAGAACCCCGGCGAGGGGAGUGAAAAAGAACCUGAAACCGUGUACGUACAAGCAGUGGGAGCCUCUUUAUGGGGUGACUGCGUACCUUUUGUAUAAUGGGUCAGCGACUUAUAUUCUGUAGCAAGGUUAACCGAAUAGGGGAGCCGAAGGGAAACCGAGUCUUAACUGGGCGUUAAGUUGCAGGGUAUAGACCCGAAACCCGGUGAUCUAGCCAUGGGCAGGUUGAAGGUUGGGUAACACUAACUGGAGGACCGAACCGACUAAUGUUGAAAAAUUAGCGGAUGACUUGUGGCUGGGGGUGAAAGGCCAAUCAAACCGGGAGAUAGCUGGUUCUCCCCGAAAGCUAUUUAGGUAGCGCCUCGUGAAUUCAUCUCCGGGGGUAGAGCACUGUUUCGGCAAGGGGGUCAUCCCGACUUACCAACCCGAUGCAAACUGCGAAUACCGGAGAAUGUUAUCACGGGAGACACACGGCGGGUGCUAACGUCCGUCGUGAAGAGGGAAACAACCCAGACCGCCAGCUAAGGUCCCAAAGUCAUGGUUAAGUGGGAAACGAUGUGGGAAGGCCCAGACAGCCAGGAUGUUGGCUUAGAAGCAGCCAUCAUUUAAAGAAAGCGUAAUAGCUCACUGGUCGAGUCGGCCUGCGCGGAAGAUGUAACGGGGCUAAACCAUGCACCGAAGCUGCGGCAGCGACGCUUAUGCGUUGUUGGGUAGGGGAGCGUUCUGUAAGCCUGCGAAGGUGUACUGUGAGGUAUGCUGGAGGUAUCAGAAGUGCGAAUGCUGACAUAAGUAACGAUAAAGCGGGUGAAAAGCCCGCUCGCCGGAAGACCAAGGGUUCCUGUCCAACGUUAAUCGGGGCAGGGUGAGUCGACCCCUAAGGCGAGGCCGAAAGGCGUAGUCGAUGGGAAACAGGUUAAUAUUCCUGUACUUGGUGUUACUGCGAAGGGGGGACGGAGAAGGCUAUGUUGGCCGGGCGACGGUUGUCCCGGUUUAAGCGUGUAGGCUGGUUUUCCAGGCAAAUCCGGAAAAUCAAGGCUGAGGCGUGAUGACGAGGCACUACGGUGCUGAAGCAACAAAUGCCCUGCUUCCAGGAAAAGCCUCUAAGCAUCAGGUAACAUCAAAUCGUACCCCAAACCGACACAGGUGGUCAGGUAGAGAAUACCAAGGCGCUUGAGAGAACUCGGGUGAAGGAACUAGGCAAAAUGGUGCCGUAACUUCGGGAGAAGGCACGCUGAUACGUAGGUGAAGUCCCUUGCGGAUGGAGCUGAAAUCAGUCGAAGAUACCAGCUGGCUGCAACUGUUUAUUAAAAACACAGCACUGUGCAAACACGAAAGUGGACGUAUACGGUGUGACGCCUGCCCGGUGCCGGAAGGUUAAUUGAUGGGGUUAGCGGUAACGCGAAGCUCUUGAUCGAAGCCCCGGUAAACGGCGGCCGUAACUAUAACGGUCCUAAGGUAGCGAAAUUCCUUGUCGGGUAAGUUCCGACCUGCACGAAUGGCGUAAUGAUGGCCAGGCUGUCUCCAC
RNAcentral lists this ribosomal RNA (1582 nucleotides) under Escherichia coli. Its description in RNAcentral is "partial 23S ribosomal RNA". It matches the Rfam family "Bacterial large subunit ribosomal RNA", at positions 459 to 2025 of the family's 2925-position model. The record is from RNAcentral. Lineage: Bacteria; Pseudomonadati; Pseudomonadota; Gammaproteobacteria; Enterobacterales; Enterobacteriaceae.